This 346-nucleotide ribosomal RNA is filed under the name Mesorhizobium sp. Its description in RNAcentral is "bacterial SSU rRNA". It matches the Rfam family "Bacterial small subunit ribosomal RNA", at positions 15 to 363 of the family's 1533-position model. The record is from RNAcentral. Lineage: Bacteria; Pseudomonadati; Pseudomonadota; Alphaproteobacteria; Hyphomicrobiales; Phyllobacteriaceae.
GAUCAUGGCUCAGAUUGAACGCUGGCGGCAGGCCUAACACAUGCAAGUCGAGCGGAUGAAAGGAGCUUGCUCCUGGAUUCAGCGGCGGACGGGUGAGUAAUGCCUAGGAAUCUGCCUGGUAGUGGGGGACAACGUUUCGAAAGGAACGCUAAUACCGCAUACGUCCUACGGGAGAAAGCAGGGGACCUUCGGGCCUUGCGCUAUCAGAUGAGCCUAGGUCGGAUUAGCUAGUUGGUGAGGUAAUGGCUCACCAAGGCGACGAUCCGUAACUGGUCUGAGAGGAUGAUCAGUCACACUGGAACUGAGACACGGUCCAGACUCCUACGGGAGGCAGCAGUGGGGAAUA